AACGAACGCUGGCGGCAUGCCUAACACAUGCAAGUCGAACGAGACCUCCGGGCCUUUGGGCGCACGGGGUCGUAAGGCGUGGGAAGCUUCCCUUGUGUACGGAAUAACUCUCCGAGAGGGAUGCUAAUACCGCAUCGUGUCUUAGCACCAAAGAUUUAUGGCCUUUGGUUGGGCACUCGUUGGAUUCGGUAGUUGGUAGGGUAAUAGCCAACCAAGGCGUGGUUCCACAGCUGGUAGGAGAGGAUGAUUACCCACGCUGGGACUCCGACACGGCCCAGAAUCCUACGCGAGGGAGCAGUGGGGAAUAUAGGACACUGGGGGAAGGCCUGAUGCAGCAAUGCCGGGUAAGUGAUGAAGGCCGUAGGGUUGUAAAGCUCUUUUACCCGGGAUGAUAAUGACAGUACCGGGUGAAUAAGCUCCGGCUAACUACGUG
Molecule: ribosomal RNA, 433 nt
Filed under: uncultured bacterium
Lineage: Bacteria
Description: partial 16S ribosomal RNA
Rfam family: Bacterial small subunit ribosomal RNA
Source: RNAcentral